Molecule: long non-coding RNA, 801 nt
Filed under: Mytilus galloprovincialis (Mediterranean mussel)
Lineage: Eukaryota; Metazoa; Mollusca; Bivalvia; Mytilida; Mytilidae
Source: RNAcentral
UGUUAACAUGGUUUAAGUCCAGGAAUAUUACAAAAUUCUUGGACAUGUUUUGACCAUUUAAUACAAGAUAGAUAUAUAGUUCUUUGGGAACAUAUGAGCCCUUUUGUACUAAAAGAUGUUUUUUACAAAGAAAUAUAUUAUGACUUUAAUAUAUUGACCCCUCAUAAAAGGGAUAUUUACAUUAUAACAUUAAGGGGUUGUUCCCAACCUGAUUAUGGCUUAAUGUAGAUGGUUAAUUGGCCCAUUUUCAGUCACACAUACAUAGACCAGAUUUAAUUAUACAAUUAUUUCUUGGUAAGCAUGGUGAACAGGGAAAAAAUACUUCAUAAAUUAAAGAAAUGUCAAAGAACAAGUCAUAAAUUGAGUUUAAAUAUUGUCAAAACCUACUAUUUUAUGUUUACAAAAAAAAUUAUAAUCGCUCGCCUUUACUUUUCCAGCUUCGCCUCAAAAAUUUUCAAAUUAAAUAUUUUUUUAUUAAAAUUUUCAAAUCGCUCGCUCGCCCCAAUUUUUGGAGUCCAAAAAUCCGUAGAACAAGAAAUUAAAUUGGUGUGGCCUAAUAAAAGAUAUUUUGUAUUGAUGAAACUUCUGACGUCGCCUAUUGUUUACUAUGCAUAUUGUUUGUAAUAUUAUGCCAUAUGUUUACACUGUACAUGUACUUGUUUAUACUGAUGAUUGUCAAUAAAUGAAAUCUGGUUUUAACUUCCAUUUUGAAUUAAGUGGGCUCAUAUAUUUAUGUCGACAAUCAAAGUCAAAUUGGAACUAAAUGUUUUCUGCAUUUUAAUUUCAAUGUAGUUAUGUUAA